This 1146-nucleotide long non-coding RNA is filed under the name Macaca fascicularis (crab-eating macaque). RNAcentral describes it as "lncRNA (ENSMFAG00000047653.1)". The record is from RNAcentral. Lineage: Eukaryota; Metazoa; Chordata; Mammalia; Primates; Cercopithecidae.
AGUGAAAUGACCCAGGCCUGGAGCGCCAAGUGCAAAGCUGGGACGACCGUUGCACCUCCUGGCAUGCCAGAGCACAGUGAGGUUCAAAAGAAGGGACAAGUGAAUAAAUUCCUCAGUUAGUUAUCCUGUAAUUGUGGUCUGUAGCAGCUAAGUCAAAGCAAAUCUAAUUUACACUUACCUUACAAUAGAGCUAAGGUAGUACUUUACCAAAAAUGGUUUUGAUUUAAGGUAAAAAUCAUACCUCAUCAACUUGAGUUUUAUUUACCUAAGGACCAAAAGAAGAAAAAGCCUGCUUAUAAAUAGUUUCUUCUAUACCCAGAUCAGUGGUUCUUAAAAGUGGUUUUAGUACCCACAGCAGUAGCAUAAUUUGUGAAUUUGUUAGGAAGUCAAAUUGGUGGGCCCCACCCCGACCUAAACUGAAUCAGAAUGUCUGGGGAUAGGGCCCAGAAACAAGUUCUCUGUUGGUUGUCAUGAACGUUAAAGGUUGUGAACCACUGACCUAAACAAUUGAGGAACAUUAAGGAACUUACGGUGUAUUCUCUCUAUAAAAGGUUUGGUUAUUCGUACUAGCACCUUAGGAUAGUUACCAAAACAAAACUACUAAUUUAUACUCUUUUUAAACUACAAGUUGCCUAUUUUAUGUAGGAGAGAUAUAAGAUUGUGAAAUUCUCCAAAAAUACCUGCCACACCCCUAACAGACAGGAGAUGAUAAGAGUAAAACAGAGAACUGGGAGGCUUUAGAAGCCCUAUUGUAAUAUUUCUUAAAACACAUUAUUUAAUGCUAAACAUAUUUAGUGUGAGCCAUAUAAAAAUUGCCAUUUUUGGAGGUCAAAAACCGUUGAAUAUCAGCAAUUAGUAUAGUUCAAUUUAUGUGAUUUCUAAUGUACCAAGUGCAAUAAUUUGGUCUCAUACUUGAUUUUUUAUUUCUUAGGCUGAGUCAUUAAAAGUUGAUCAGUGAUAUCUGGCAAAAUUAUUUAAAGUGCUUGAGGAAUUGGGGAGACUUGCUGCUUAUGUGAUCAGAUACACAAAAAUGAAGUUUUUCAUUUCAUUAAAUAUUUGAUUAAAACUGCUAAGUUUGAAAAUGUUUACCAAGAAAUAGUUUGCAGAAAUUUUGCUAACUUGAUAGAAUAAAGGCUUUUGAGCAAU